GAUGAACGCUAGCUACAGGCUUAACACAUGCAAGUCGAGGGGCAGCAUGACGAUAGCUUGCUAUUGUUGAUGGCGACCGGCGCGACGGGUGAGUAACGCGUAUCCAACCUUCCCGUUGCUAGGGGAUAACCUUGCGAAAGUAAGACUAAUACCCUAUGAAGUUCUUCGCAGGCAUCUAAAGAGAACGAAAGAUUUAUCGGCAACGGAUGGGGAUGCGUCUGAUUAGGUUGUUGGCGGGGUAACGGCCCACCAAGCCCACGAUCAGUAGGGGUUCUGAGAGGAAGGUCCCCCACAUUGGAACUGAGACACGGUCCAAACUCCUACGGGAGGCAGCAGUGAGGAAUAUUGGUCAAUGGACGGAAGUCUGAACCAGCCAAGUAGCGUGCAGGAAGACGGCCCUAUGGGUUGUAAACUGCUUUUAUGUGGGAAUAAAGUGAGGGACGUGUCCCUUUUGUAGGUACCACAUGAAUAAGGACCGGCUAAUUCCGUG
RNAcentral lists this ribosomal RNA (490 nucleotides) under uncultured bacterium. RNAcentral's name for it is "bacterial SSU rRNA". It matches the Rfam family "Bacterial small subunit ribosomal RNA", at positions 28 to 507 of the family's 1533-position model. The record is from RNAcentral.